GACGUAGGGUGCGAGCGUUGUCCGGAAUUAUUGGGCGUAAAGAGCUCGUAGGUGGUUUGUUACGUCUGCUGUGAAAACCUAGGGCUUAACCCUGGGCUUGCAGUGGAUACGGGCAGACUAGAGGUAGGUAUGGGAGAAUGGAAUUCCUGGUGUAGCGGUGAAAUGCGCAGAUAUCAGGAGGAACACCGGUGGCGAAGGCGGUUCUCUGGGCCUUACCUGACACUGAGGAGCGAAAGCGUGGGGAGCGAACAGG
Molecule: ribosomal RNA, 253 nt
Filed under: uncultured bacterium
Lineage: Bacteria
Description: partial 16S ribosomal RNA
Rfam family: Bacterial small subunit ribosomal RNA
Source: RNAcentral